AGUAAGCCAAGCAAUCGCUGCUGAGAAUUUUCUCAGGAGAGGAAAGUCCGAGCUCCAUAGGGCAGGGUGCUGGGUAACUCCCAGUGGAGGCGACUCUAAGGAAAGUGCAACAGAGAUAUACCGCCAGAAUCAUCUUUUGAUGAUUAGUUAGCUUUAAGCUACUGGUAAGGGUGGAAAGGCGAGGUAAGAGCUCACCAGCGCAUUGGCGACUUUGCGGCUAUGUAAACCCCAUCUGGAGCAAGACCGAAUAGGAAGGCAAAAGGAGCUGCUCGUUCCGCCUUCGGGUGUGUCGCUGGAGCUCAUUGGUAACAAUGGGCCUAGAUAGAUGAUUGCUUAAUACAGAACUCGGCUUAUAGGUUUAU
RNAcentral lists this RNase P RNA (362 nucleotides) under Clostridium amazonitimonense. Its description in RNAcentral is "Bacterial RNase P class A". It matches the Rfam family "Bacterial RNase P class A". Rfam says of the family: Ribonuclease P (RNase P) is a ubiquitous endoribonuclease, found in archaea, bacteria and eukarya as well as chloroplasts and mitochondria. Its best characterised activity is the generation of mature 5'-ends of tRNAs by cleaving the 5'-leader elements of precursor-tRNAs. The record is from RNAcentral. Lineage: Bacteria; Bacillati; Bacillota; Clostridia; Eubacteriales; Clostridiaceae.